This 500-nucleotide ribosomal RNA is filed under the name uncultured Glomus. RNAcentral describes it as "SSU rRNA". It matches the Rfam family "Eukaryotic small subunit ribosomal RNA", at positions 569 to 1074 of the family's 1831-position model. Lineage: Eukaryota; Fungi; Glomeromycota; Glomeromycetes; Glomerales; Glomeraceae. The record is from RNAcentral.
AGCAGCCGCGGUAAUUCCAGCUCCAAUAGCGUAUAUUAAAGUUGCUGCAGUUAAAAAGCUCGUAGUUGAAUUUCGGGACCAUCAUGUCGGUCGUGCCUCGGUACGUACUGGCAUUGUUGGUUUCUCCCUUCUGACGAACCAUGAUGUCAUUUAUUUGGUGUUGUGGGGAAUCAGGACUGUUACUUUGAAAAAUUAGAGUGUUUAAAGCAGGCUCACGCUUGAAUACAUUAGCAUGGAAUAAUGAAAUAGGACGUUUGAUUCUAUUUUGUUGGUUUCUAGGAUCGACGUAAUGAUUAAUAGGGAUAGUUGGGGGCAUUAGUAUUCAAUUGUCAGAGGUGAAAUUCUUGGAUUUAUUGAAGACUAACUACUGCGAAAGCAUUUGCCAAGGAUGUUUUCAUUAAUCAAGAACGAAAGUUAGGGGAUCGAAGACGAUCAGAUACCGUCGUAGUCUUAACCAUAAACUAUGCCGACUAGGGAUCGGAUGAUGUUAAUUUUUAUGA